GCGGGGAUGGGAGGCUCGGGGUGUCCGGCACCGCUGGAGCCGGUGCCGGUGCCGGCUCUGACCCGGUUCGGGCA
Turdus rufiventris (rufous-bellied thrush) is the source of this 74-nucleotide non-coding RNA. The record is from the annotation of a GenBank genome assembly. NCBI's taxonomy places the organism in Eukaryota, Metazoa, Chordata, Aves, Passeriformes, Turdidae.